GGAAUGUCAUCUUUCAUGAACAAUCAUUCCAUUUUCUCACUCAUACUGAUCUUGAGUUGAAGCAUACAAAUUCAUCUCCAAAUUUUACUUCUCCAUCAUCUAAUCCUGGUGAAUAUCCAUUUCCCAAUUUUCCGUCACAUUCAUCUACCUUCACAUCUCCUGGUAACAACUCGUUACCUUGGACCCAUACACCUUCUCCUUCUCCUGACCAUUCUACUUCCUCUCCUCUUGUCAAUGAUGCUCCUGUCAGUAACUCUCUCCCUCACUGUACAUCAGACAACACCUUUAUUGCACCCACAAUGCCUUUAUCGCCUUCUGUUGAGCCUGUCAUCCGUAGGUCUACCAGAACACGUAUAGCACCUCACUAUUUAGCAGAUUUUCACUGCCAACAGGCUGCCUUAACUCCACCUACUCAAUCCACGGUUCAGGUAUCUAUUUCUCCUUGUACUUGUUCUUUUCCUUUAGAAAAUUAUCUAUCUUAUGAUCACUUUUCCCCUUCUUUUUAAGCCUUUUCUUCUUUUCUCUCUACUGUUGUUGAACCGACUUCUUAUAGCCAAGCAGUGAAAGAUCCGGACUGGUGCACAACUAUGGAUGCAGAAUUAUAUGCCUUAGAACAAAAUAAUACUUGGGUUCUCACUGACUUGCCUCCUGAUAAAGAACCAAUUGACUGCAAGUAUGUAUAUAAGGUGAAAAGAAAUUCAGAUGGCAGUGUGGAGAGACUUAAAGCACGUUUAGUUGCAAAGGGCUAUACACAACAAGAGGGAAUUGACUAUACCAAAACCUUUUCACCUGUUGCAAAGAUGGUAACAGUGAGACGCUUAUUGUCUGUUGCUGCUAUUUGAGGUUGGCAUUUACAUCAAUUUGAUGUAAACAAUGCCUUCCUCCAUGGUGACUUAAAUGAGGAAAUCUACAUGAACAAGCCACUUAGCUAUACCAAAGGAUGUCCUAAUCAAGUCUGCAAAUUACUAAAGAAUCUUUAUGGUUUGAAACAAGCCUUGAGACAAUGGUAUGCCAAACUUACCUCUCCUUUGUUGCAUUUUGGAUUCUCACAAUCUAAAGUUGACUACAGUCUUUUUGUCAAGUCUACUGAUGAUUUUUUUACAGCCCUUUUAGUGUAUGUUGACG
Molecule: long non-coding RNA, 1125 nt
Filed under: Olea europaea subsp. europaea
Lineage: Eukaryota; Viridiplantae; Streptophyta; Magnoliopsida; Lamiales; Oleaceae
Source: RNAcentral